RNAcentral lists this ribosomal RNA (468 nucleotides) under uncultured bacterium. RNAcentral describes it as "partial 16S ribosomal RNA". It matches the Rfam family "Bacterial small subunit ribosomal RNA", at positions 28 to 507 of the family's 1533-position model. The record is from RNAcentral.
GACGAACGCUGGCGGCGUGCUUAACACAUGCAAGUCGAACGGAAAGGCCCUGCUUUUGUGGGGUGCUCGAGUGGCGAACGGGUGAGUAACACGUGAGUAACCUGCCCUUGACUUUGGGAUAACUUCAGGAAACUGGUGCUAAUACCUGAUAGGAGCUCCUGCUGCAUGGUGGGGGUUGGAAAGUUUCGGCGGUUGGGGAUGGACUCGCGGCUUAUCAGCUUGUUGGUGGGGUAGUGGCUUACCAAGGCUUUGACGGGUAGCCGGCCUGAGAGGGUGACCGGCCACAUUGGGACUGAGAUACGGCCCAGACUCCUACGGGAGGCAGCAGUGGGGAAUAUUGAACAAUGGGCGGAAGCCUGAUGCAGCAACGCCGCGUGCGGGAUGACGGCCUUCGGGUUGUAAACCGCUUUCGCCUGUGACGAAGCGUGAGUGACGGUAAUGGGUAAAGAAGCACCGGCUAACUACGUG